Molecule: ribosomal RNA, 253 nt
Filed under: uncultured bacterium
Lineage: Bacteria
Description: partial 16S ribosomal RNA
Rfam family: Bacterial small subunit ribosomal RNA
Source: RNAcentral
UACGUAGGGUGCAAGCGUUGUCCGGAAUUAUUGGGCGUAAAGAGCUCGUAGGCGGUCUGUCGCGUCGGCUGUGAAAACCUGGGGCUCAACUCCGGGCCUGCAGCCGAUACGGGCAGACUAGAAUUCGGUAGGGGAGACUGGAAUUCCUGGUGUAGCGGUGAAAUGCGCAGAUAUCAGGAGGAACACCGGUGGCGAAGGCGGGUCUCUGGGCCGAUAUUGACGCUGAGGAGCGAAAGCGUGGGUAGCAAACAGG